RNAcentral lists this ribosomal RNA (344 nucleotides) under uncultured Paenibacillus sp. RNAcentral's name for it is "bacterial SSU rRNA". It matches the Rfam family "Bacterial small subunit ribosomal RNA", at positions 1039 to 1382 of the family's 1533-position model. The record is from RNAcentral. Lineage: Bacteria; Bacillati; Bacillota; Bacilli; Caryophanales; Paenibacillaceae.
UGGUGCAUGGUUGUCGUCAGCUCGUGUCGUGAGAUGUUGGGUUAAGUCCCGCAACGAGCGCAACCCUCGACCUUAGUUGCCAGCAUUCAGUUGGGCACUCUAAGGUGACUGCCGGCUAAAAAGUCGGAGGAAGGUGGGGAUGACGUCAAAUCAUCAUGCCCCUUAUGACCUGGGCUACACACGUGCUACAAUGGGCGGUACAAAGGGUCGCGAACCCGCGAGGGGGAGCCAAUCCCAAAAAAGCCGCUCUCAGUUCGGAUUGCAGGCUGCAACUCGCCUGCAUGAAGCCGGAAUCGCUAGUAAUCGCGGAUCAGCAUGCCGCGGUGAAUACGUUCCCGGGCCUU